GACGAACGCUGGCGGCGUGCCUAAUACAUGCAAGUCGAACGCAGUGGGGACGGGUGAGUAACCCGUGGGUAACCUCCCAUCAGAGGGGAUAACACUUGGAAACAGGUGCUAAACCGAUACUGAUGGAUGGACCCGCGGUGCAUUAGCUAGUUGGUGAGGUAACGGCUCACCAAGGCCACGAUGCAUAGCCGACCUUAGAGGGUGAUCAGCCACACUGGGACUGAGACACGGCCCAGACUCCUACGGGAGGCAGCAGUGGGGAAUCUUCGGCAAUGGACGAAAGCCUGACCGAGCAACGCCGCGUGAGUGAAGAAGGUUUUCGGAUCGUAAAGCUCUGUUGUUAGAGAAGCGGUAUCUAAACAGAAAGCACCGGCUAACUACGUGCCAGCCGCCGCGGUAAUUC
RNAcentral lists this ribosomal RNA (403 nucleotides) under uncultured bacterium. RNAcentral describes it as "partial 16S ribosomal RNA". It matches the Rfam family "Bacterial small subunit ribosomal RNA", at positions 28 to 526 of the family's 1533-position model. The record is from RNAcentral.